Molecule: ribosomal RNA, 822 nt
Filed under: Staphylococcus aureus
Lineage: Bacteria; Bacillati; Bacillota; Bacilli; Caryophanales; Staphylococcaceae
Description: partial 23S ribosomal RNA
Rfam family: Bacterial large subunit ribosomal RNA
Source: RNAcentral
UCGAUUCCCUUAGUAGCGGCGAGCGAAACGGGAAGAGCCCAAACCAACAAGCUUGCUUGUUGGGGUUGUAGGACACUCUAUACGGAGUUACAAAGGACGACAUUAGACGAAUCAUCUGGAAAGAUGAAUCAAAGAAGGUAAUAAUCCUGUAGUCGAAAAUGUUGUCUCUCUUGAGUGGAUCCUGAGUACGACGGAGCACGUGAAAUUCCGUCGGAAUCUGGGAGGACCAUCUCCUAAGGCUAAAUACUCUCUAGUGACCGAUAGUGAACCAGUACCGUGAGGGAAAGGUGAAAAGCACCCCGGAAGGGGAGUGAAAUAGAACCUGAAACCGUGUGCUUACAAGUAGUCAGAGCCCGUUAAUGGGUGAUGGCGUGCCUUUUGUAGAAUGAACCGGCGAGUUACGAUUUGAUGCAAGGUUAAGCAGUAAAUGUGGAGCCGUAGCGAAAGCGAGUCUGAAUAGGGCGUUUAGUAUUUGGUCGUAGACCCGAAACCAGGUGAUCUACCCUUGGUCAGGUUGAAGUUCAGGUAACACUGAAUGGAGGACCGAACCGACUUACGUUGAAAAGUGAGCGGAUGAACUGAGGGUAGCGGAGAAAUUCCAAUCGAACCUGGAGAUAGCUGGUUCUCUCCGAAAUAGCUUUAGGGCUAGCCUCAAGUGAUGAUUAUUGGAGGUAGAGCACUGUUUGGACGAGGGGCCCCUCUCGGGUUACCGAAUUCAGACAAACUCCGAAUGCCAAUUAAUUUAACUUGGGAGUCAGAACAUGGGUGAUAAGGUCCGUGUUCGAAAGGGAAACAGCCCAGACCACCAGCUAAGGUCCCAAA